UACAGUGGCAGUAUAAGGGGUUAACUGUAUAGAGUGACAAUGUUCAGUACAGUGGCAGUAUAAGGAGGGUUAACUGUAUAGAGUGACAAUGUUCAGUACAGUGGCAGUAUAAGGAGGGUUUACUGUAUAGAGUGACAAUGUUCAGUACAGUGGCAGUAUAAGGAGGGUUUGCUGUAUAGAGUGACAAUGUUCAGUACAGUGGCAGUAUAAGGAGGGUUUACUGUAUAGAGUGACAAUGUUCAGUACAGUGGCAGUAUAAGGAGGGUUUACUGUAUAGAGUGACAAUGUUCAGUACAGUGGCAGUAUAAGGAGUGUUAACUGUAUAGAGUGACAAUGUUCAGUACAUUGGCAGUAUAAGGGGGUUUACUGUAUAGAGUGACAAUGUUCAGUACAGUGGCAGUAUAAGGAGUGUUAACUGUAUAGAGUGACAAUGUUCAGUACAGUGGCAGUAUAAGGAGUGUUAACUGUAUAGAGUGACAAUGUUCAGUACAGUGGCAGUAUAAGGAGGGUUAACUGUAUAGAGUGACAAUGUUCAGUACAGUGGCAGUAUAAGGAGGGUUAACUGUAUAGAGUGACAAUGUUCAGUACAGUGGCAGUAUAAGGGGGUUAACUGUAUAGAGUGACAAUGUUCAGUACAGUGGCAGUAUAAGGAGGGUUAACUGUAUAGAGUGACAAUGUUCAGUACAGUGGCAGUAUAAGGAGGGUUUACUGGAGUGACAAUGUUCAGUACAGUGGCAGUAUAAGGAGGGUUAACUGGAGUGACAAUGUUCAGUACAGUGACAGUAUAAGGGGGGUUAACUGUAUAGAGUGACAAUGUUCAGUACAGUGGCAGUAUAAGGAGUGUUAACUGUAUAGAGUGACAAUGUUCAGUACAGUGGCAGUAUAAGGGGGGUUAACUGUAUAGAGUGACAAUGUUCAGUACAGUGGCAGUAUAAGGAGGGUUAACUGUAUAGAGUGACAAUGUUCAGUACAGUGGCAGUAUAAGGAGGGUUUACUGUAUAGAGUGACAAUGUUCAGUACAGUGGCAGUAUAAGGAGGGUUAACUGUAUAGAGUGACAAUGUUCAGUACAGUGGCAGUAUAAGGAGUGUUAACUGUAUAGAGUGACAAUGUACAGUACAGUGGCAGUAUAAGGGGUUAACUGUAUAGAGUGACAAUGUUCAGUACAGUGGCAGUAUAAGGAGGGUUAACUGUAUAGAGUGACAAUGUUCAGUACAGUGGCAGUAUAAGGAGGGUUUACUGUAUAGAGUGACAAUGUUCAGUACAGUGGCAGUAUAAGGAGGGUUAACUGUAUAGUGAUGUGAAUGUUUACAGGAUGUGUCCUUUAUGAUUUAUGAAAGAGGUAUACAGACCUAUGCUGAGUGACGUUUGAUAAACAUGUUGCUGAAUUGUUAAUGUUUUAUUUAAUAUGUACACAAGUCUGUGAUCCAAAAGGAGAGAGAAAUAAAAGUAGAAAUAUGAA
Pecten maximus is the source of this 1460-nucleotide long non-coding RNA. RefSeq lists it as uncharacterized. NCBI's taxonomy places the organism in Eukaryota, Metazoa, Mollusca, Bivalvia, Pectinida, Pectinidae. The record is from RefSeq and is a predicted model, not a curated record. The transcript has 2 exons.